UUUCCUACGGGAGGCAGCAGUGGGGAAUAUUGCACAAUGGGGGAAACCCUGAUGCAGCAACGCCGCGUGAGUGAAGAAGGUUUUCGGAUUGUAAAGCUCUGUUAGCAGGGAAGAGGAAGGACGGUACCUGCAGAGGAAGCCACGGCUAACUACGUGCCAGCAGCCGCGGUAAUACGUAGGUGGCGAGCGUUAUCCGGAAUGAUUGGGCGUAAAGGGUGCGUAGGCGGCCUGCUAAGUCUGGAGUGAAAGGUACCGGCUCAACCGGUACAGGCUCUGGAAACUGGCGGGCUAGAGAGCAGGAGAGG
Molecule: ribosomal RNA, 305 nt
Filed under: uncultured bacterium
Lineage: Bacteria
Description: bacterial SSU rRNA
Rfam family: Bacterial small subunit ribosomal RNA
Source: RNAcentral